GCUGGGCGUGGUGACUCACGCCUGUAAUCUCAGCACUUUGGGAAGCCGAGACAGGUGGAUCACCUGAGGUCAGGAGUUCCAGACCAGCCUGGCCAACAUGGUGAAACCCUGUCUCUA
This 117-nucleotide non-coding RNA is filed under the name Pan troglodytes (chimpanzee). Lineage: Eukaryota; Metazoa; Chordata; Mammalia; Primates; Hominidae. The record is from Rfam by way of RNAcentral.